Molecule: ribosomal RNA, 469 nt
Filed under: uncultured bacterium
Lineage: Bacteria
Description: bacterial SSU rRNA
Rfam family: Bacterial small subunit ribosomal RNA
Source: RNAcentral
ACUCCUACGGGAGGCAGCAGUGAGGAAUAUUGGUCAAUGGAGGGAACUCUGAACCAGCCAUCCCCGCGUGUAGGAAGACGGCCUUAUGGGUUGUAAACUACUUUUAUACAGGAAGAAACGUACCCUCGUGAGGGUGCCUGACGGUACUGUAGGAAUAAGCACCGGCUAACUCCGUGCCAGCAGCCGCGGUAAUACGGAGGGUGCGAGCGUUAUCCGGAUUUAUUGGGUUUAAAGGGUCCGUAGGCGGAUUAAUAAGUCAGUGGUGAAAUCCCAUCGCUUAACGAUGGAACUGCCAUUGAUACUGUUAGUCUUGAAUGAGGGUGCAGUGGUUGGAAUGUGUAGUGUAGCGGUGAAAUGCAUAGAUAUUACACAGAACACCGAUUGCGAAGGCAGAUCACUAACCCUAAAUUGACGCUGAGGGACGAAAGCGUGGGGAGCGAACAGGAUUAGAUACCCUGGUAGCACAGAG